AUGAAUGGAUUUCAAUUUCUGUUGGUGAGAUGAAUGGAUUGCUUUGUGUUAGAUGAAUGUGGUUAGUGAACAAGUUUCUGUUAGAGUUUGUGGUUAAGUUGAUGGUGAUGAUUUGUUCUGUUAGAUUGUUAGAUUGGCUGAAUUUCUGUUACAAUGAAUUUAAUGUUAAUUUGCAAUAACUUUCGUGGAUUAUUUGCAAUAUUUCCCUGUUACUGAUGCAUUGCUGUUUGAUGAAUGAAUUGGAUGUAUGAUGAAUUUGGUUGUGUAUAGUUAUUUUGCUGAAAUGAAGGUUGAGUUUGGAUGUUAAUUCUGUUGUUAUGAUUGUUGGUAUGUGAAUGUAUUGAAUUGAAGUUAAGCUAUAGUCGCUGUUAAUGAUUGUUAUGAUGCCUUUCUCGUGUAUGAUUCUUAAUGUCAACAUGUUGAUGCUUGAACUAAUGUUGAGUGAAUGCGUGGUAAGUUCUUUUUCUGUUAAUGAUUGUAUGACAUGUUCCCAUGAGGUAUAAUGUGUAUGGUCUUGUAUGUAUGCUAGUUGUUAUGUUGGUUCAUGGUUGAAAUUGUUUAAAAAUGUGAAUGUAUGAUGAUGCUAAUGUGUAUGUAUGUUGUGAUGUAACAUGAUACAUUGGCUUGGAAUAUUUGAAGUAUUGGAUGCAUUGCCUUGUAUUUGUUGUCAAUUGGAUGCUAAGUUGUGAUAACAUAUAUGGCAUGAAUUUUUGGGAUUGUUAAUGAUGAUGCAUUAUUUGGAAUGUUUUGUAGGGUAUUCACACAUGAAAGAGGGAUUGAACAAAGCCUAAACAUGAUAUUCAUUUGUCUUGCAUUUGAAGAUUUAGAUCAUGGCAAUCAUCAAACAUCAAGUGGAAGUUUUGAAGAUUCAAAAAAGAUGACUUGUAGAAAAUUAAAAAUCGGAGUUAGGGUUAGGAUAGGUAAAAAUGGUCAUUUGACUUUGGUCAAUUGGUUGACCAAAAAGUCAACAGUUGACCAAAAAUCAACUUAGGUAAAAAUGUAUUUUUGUUUGGUUUGAUUUGUAAUGUAAGGAUUUUGUGAUGUAAUACUAGAUUGAUGUUUUGAAAUGGAAUGAUGGUUCUUGAAUGAAACAUGGAUUUUGAAUGAACCAUGACUUAUGAUAUGAAUUUGAAUAAAUGUAA
Lathyrus oleraceus (garden pea) is the source of this 1142-nucleotide long non-coding RNA. RefSeq lists it as uncharacterized. The record is from RefSeq and is a predicted model, not a curated record. The transcript is spliced from 2 exons. Lineage: Eukaryota; Viridiplantae; Streptophyta; Magnoliopsida; Fabales; Fabaceae.